CCUACGUGGUGCAGCAGUGGGGAAUAUUGGACAAUGGGCGAAAGCCUGAUCCAGCCAUGCCGCGUGUGUGAAGAAGGCCUUCGGGUUGUAAAGCACUUUCAGUGGGGAAGAAAGCCUUGGGGCUAAUACCCUCGAGGAAGGACAUCACCCACAGAAGAAGCACCGGCUAACUCCGUGCCAGCAGCCGCGGUAAUACGGAGGGUGCGAGCGUUAAUCGGAAUUACUGGGCGUAAAGCGCGCGUAGGCGGUCUGAUAAGCCGGUUGUGAAAGCCCCGGGCUCAACCUGGGAACGGCAUCCGGAACUGUCGGGCUAGAGUGCAGGAGAGGAAGGUAGAAUUCCCGGUGUAGCGGUGAAAUGCGUAGAGAUCGGGAGGAAUACCAGUGGCGAAGGCGGCCUUCUGGACUGACACUGACGCUGAGGUGCGAAAGCGUGGGUAGCAAACAGGAUUAGAUACCCUGGUAGUC
Molecule: ribosomal RNA, 465 nt
Filed under: Vreelandella stevensii
Lineage: Bacteria; Pseudomonadati; Pseudomonadota; Gammaproteobacteria; Oceanospirillales; Halomonadaceae
Description: partial 16S ribosomal RNA
Rfam family: Bacterial small subunit ribosomal RNA
Source: RNAcentral